RNAcentral lists this ribosomal RNA (446 nucleotides) under uncultured bacterium. Its description in RNAcentral is "partial 16S ribosomal RNA". It matches the Rfam family "Bacterial small subunit ribosomal RNA", at positions 338 to 795 of the family's 1533-position model. The record is from RNAcentral.
CCUACGGGAGGCUGCAGUCGAGAAUCAUUCACAAUGGGGGAAACCCUGAUGGGGCGACGCCGCGUGGGGGAAUGAAGGUCUUCGGAUUGUAAACCCCUGUCAUGUGGGAGCAAAUUAAAAAGAUAGUACCACAAGAGGAAGAGACGGCUAACUCUGUGCCAGCAGCCGCGGUAAUACAGAGGUCUCAAGCGUUGUUCGGAAUCACUGGGCGUAAAGCGUGCGUAGGCUGUUUCGUAAGUCGUGUGUGAAAGGCGCGGGCUCAACCCGCGGACGGCACAUGAUACUGCGAGACUAGAGUGAUGGAGGGGGAACCGGAAUUCUCGGUGUAGCAGUGAAAUGCGUAGAUAUCGAGAGGAACACUCGUGGCGAAGGCGGGUUCCUGGACAUUAACUGACGCUGAGGCACGAAGGCCAGGGGAGCGAAAGGGAUUAGAUACCCCAGUAGUC